GCUCCGUUGGUGUAGUGGUAGCACGUGCCCCUGGUGUGGGUGAAACGAUGGUUCGAUUUUUGCAUGGAGUU
Molecule: non-coding RNA, 71 nt
Organism: Parelaphostrongylus tenuis
Lineage: Eukaryota; Metazoa; Nematoda; Chromadorea; Rhabditida; Metastrongylidae
Source: the annotation of a GenBank genome assembly